GCGGGUGUGGCGGAACUGGCAGACGCGCAAGACUUAGGAUCUUGUGGGCGACCGUGGGGGUUCAAGUCCCUCCACCCGCA
RNAcentral lists this transfer RNA (80 nucleotides) under Fibrobacterota bacterium. Its description in RNAcentral is "Fibrobacteres bacterium (bioreactor metagenome) tRNA-Leu". It matches the Rfam family "tRNA". From Rfam's summary of the family: Transfer RNA (tRNA) molecules are approximately 80 nucleotides in length. Their secondary structure includes four short double-helical elements and three loops (D, anti-codon, and T loops). The record is from RNAcentral. Lineage: Bacteria; Pseudomonadati; Fibrobacterota.